GCCGCCUUAGCUCAGUCGGUAGAGCACGAUACUCGUAAUAUCGGGGUCAACGGUUCGAUUCCGUUAGGCGGCUCCA
Molecule: transfer RNA, 76 nt
Filed under: Polymorphospora rubra
Lineage: Bacteria; Bacillati; Actinomycetota; Actinomycetes; Micromonosporales; Micromonosporaceae
Also listed under: 4 other names
Description: tRNA-Thr
Rfam family: tRNA
About the family: Transfer RNA (tRNA) molecules are approximately 80 nucleotides in length. Their secondary structure includes four short double-helical elements and three loops (D, anti-codon, and T loops).
Source: RNAcentral